This 210-nucleotide long non-coding RNA is filed under the name Nicotiana benthamiana. RNAcentral describes it as "long non-coding RNA (NBEN_LNC022178)". The record is from RNAcentral. Lineage: Eukaryota; Viridiplantae; Streptophyta; Magnoliopsida; Solanales; Solanaceae.
CUCACGCACCAUGUUCCCAUGGAGACAUCUACCGAAAGUAAAUAUUGUAGAUAGUCCCAACAAACAAAAGAUGAAGUACCUACUAUCUAUUCAUCUACUUUAGUUUUUACAUCAGAGAACGGCAUCAUCAGCCUUCAGUCGGGCUUUGCCUUUUACCACCUACCAAUUAUGUUAAACUAGAACUCCUGCAUCCCAUUCCUGUACAUUAAC